RNAcentral lists this ribosomal RNA (450 nucleotides) under uncultured bacterium. RNAcentral's name for it is "bacterial SSU rRNA". It matches the Rfam family "Bacterial small subunit ribosomal RNA", at positions 354 to 796 of the family's 1533-position model. The record is from RNAcentral.
GUGGGGAAUAUUGGACAAUGGGCGAAAGCCUGAUCCAGCCAUGCCGCGUGUGUGAAGAAGGUCUUCGGAUUGUAAAGCACUUUAAGUUGGGAGGAAGGGCAGUAAGUUAAUACCUUGCUGUUUUGACGUUACCGACAGCAUAAGCACCGGCUAACUUCGUGCCAGCAGCCGCGGUAAUACGAAGGGUGCAAGCGUUAAUCGGAAUUACUGGGCGUAAAGCGCGCGUAGGUGGUUUUGUAAGUUGGAGGUGAAAUCCCCGGGCUCAACCCGGGAACUGCCUCCAAAACUGCAUGACUAGAGUACGGUAGAGGGUAGUGGAAUUUCCUGGGUAGCGGUGAAAUGCGUAGAUAUAGGAAGGAACACCAGUGGCGAAGGCGACUACCUGGACUGAUACUGACACUGAGGUGCGAAAGCGUGGGGAGCAAACAGGAUUAGAAACCCUUGUAGUCC